Molecule: ribosomal RNA, 970 nt
Filed under: Bacillus tequilensis
Lineage: Bacteria; Bacillati; Bacillota; Bacilli; Caryophanales; Bacillaceae
Description: bacterial SSU rRNA
Rfam family: Bacterial small subunit ribosomal RNA
Source: RNAcentral
UCCGGUAUAAAGGCUCUUCUUGUUUGUUACGGGAAGGAAUCAGGUAACGGUUCCGAAUAGGGCGGUACCUUGACGGUACCUAACCAGAAAGCCACGGCUAACUACGUGCCAGCAGCCGCGGUAAUACGUAGGUGGCAGCGUUGUCGGGAAUUUAUUGGGCGUAAAGGGCUCGCAGGCGGUUUCUUAAGUCUGAUGUGAAAGCCCCCGGCUCAACCGGGGAGGGUCAUUGGAAACUGGGGAACUUGAGUGCAGAAGAGGAGAGUGGAAUUCCACGUGUAGCGGUGAAAUGCGUAGAGAUGUGGAGGAACACCAGUGGCGAAGGCGACUCUCUGGUCUGUAACUGACGCUGAGGAGCGAAAGCGUGGGGAGCGAACAGGAUUAGAUACCCUGGUAGUCCACGCCGUAAACGAUGAGUGCUAAGUGUUAGGGGGUUUCCGCCCCUUAGUGCUGCAGCUAACGCAUUAAGCACUCCGCCUGGGGAGUACGGUCGCAAGACUGAAACUCAAAGGAAUUGACGGGGGCCCGCACAAGCGGUGGAGCAUGUGGUUUAAUUCGAAGCAACGCGAAGAACCUUACCAGGUCUUGACAUCCUCUGACAAUCCUAGAGAUAGGACGUCCCCUUCGGGGGCAGAGUGACAGGUGGUGCAUGGUUGUCGUCAGCUCGUGUCGUGAGAUGUUGGGUUAAGUCCCGCAACGAGCGCAACCCUUGAUCUUAGUUGCCAGCAUUCAGUUGGGCACUCUAAGGUGACUGCCGGUGACAAACCGGAGGAAGGUGGGGAUGACGUCAAAUCAUCAUGCCCCUUAUGACCUGGGCUACACACGUGCUACAAUGGACAGAACAAAGGGCAGCGAAACCGCGAGGUUAAGCCAAUCCCACAAAUCUGUUCUCAGUUCGGAUCGCAGUCUGCAACUCGACUGCGUGAAGCUGGAAUCGCUAGUAAUCGCGGAUCAAGGACGGCCGCGAUUGCGG